UGGGGAAUCUUGCACAAUGGGCGAAAGCCUGAUGCAGCAACGCCGCGUGCGGGAAGACAGCCCUAGGGUUGUAAACCGCUUUCAGCAGGGAAGAAACUGACGGUACCUGCAGAAGAAGAUGCGGCCAACUACGUGCCAGCAGCCGCGGUGACACGUAGGCAUCAAGCGUUAUCCGGAUUUAUUGGGCGUAAAGAGCUCGUAGGCGGUUCGGUAAGUCGGGUGUGAAAACUCUGGGCUCAACCCAGAGAGGCCACUCGAUACUGCUGUGACUAGAGUGCGGUAGGGGAGCGGGGAAUUCCUGGUGUAGCGGUGAAAUGCGCAGAUAUCAGGAGGAACACCAGUGGCGAAGGCGCCGCUCUGGGCCGUAACUGACGCUGAGGAGCG
This 384-nucleotide ribosomal RNA is filed under the name uncultured bacterium. RNAcentral describes it as "bacterial SSU rRNA". It matches the Rfam family "Bacterial small subunit ribosomal RNA", at positions 355 to 755 of the family's 1533-position model. The record is from RNAcentral.